UUUCCGUAGGUGAACCUGCGGAAGGAUCAUUAAUGAGUUGUCAUGGGGUUCGAUGCUGGCAGCCAAUUUUUGGAUGCAUGUGCUUGCCCUAACAAUCAUCUUCCAAACACCUGUGCACAUUUUUGAGGUGGUCUUGAGUUGGUUGCCGCUCUUGGGUGAUUUUCUCACAUUCCCUUAAAUCAUUAUACGCUACUAACUAUGUUGAACGUGCUCUGUGCCGCAAGGCUAUUAAUAAAAUACAACUUUUAACAACGGAUCUCUUGGCUCUC
This 269-nucleotide unclassified non-coding RNA is filed under the name plant metagenome. Its description in RNAcentral is "partial contains small subunit ribosomal RNA, internal transcribed spacer 1, and 5.8S ribosomal RNA". The record is from RNAcentral.